RNAcentral lists this ribosomal RNA (696 nucleotides) under uncultured cyanobacterium. RNAcentral describes it as "bacterial SSU rRNA". It matches the Rfam family "Bacterial small subunit ribosomal RNA", at positions 66 to 804 of the family's 1533-position model. Lineage: Bacteria; Bacillati; Cyanobacteriota. The record is from RNAcentral.
ACGAAUCCCUUCGGGGAUUAGUGGCGGACGGGUGAGUAGCGCGUGAGAAUCUGCCUUCAGGUUCGGGACAACCAUUGGAAACGGUGGCUAAUACCGAAUGUGCCGCAACGUGAAAGAUUUAUCGCCUGAAGAUGAGCUCGCGUCCGAUUAGCUAGUUGGUGAGGUAAAAGCUCACCAAGGCGACGAUCGGUAGCUGGUCUGAGAGGAUGACCAGCCACACUGGGACUGAGACACGGCCCAGACUCCUACGGGAGGCAGCAGUGGGGAAUUUUCCGCAAUGGGCGCAAGCCUGACGGAGCAAGACCGCGUGAGGGAGGAAGGCUCUUGGGUUGUAAACCUCUUUUCUCAGGGAAGAAGAAAGUGACGGUACCUGAGGAAUCAGCCUCGGCUAACUCCGUGCCAGCAGCCGCGGUAAUACGGAGGAGGCAAGCGUUAUCCGGAAUUAUUGGGCGUAAAGCGUCCGUAGGUGAUUAUGUAAGUCUGCUGUCAAAGCACAGGGCUUAACCCUGUAAAGGCAGUGGAAACUACAAGACUCGAGUGCGGUAGGGGCAGAGGGAAUUCCCAGUGUAGCGGUGAAAUGCGUAGAGAUUGGGAAGAACACCUGUGGCGAAAGCGCUCUGCUGGACCGCAACUGACACUCAGGGACGAAAGCUAGGGGAGCGAAUGGGAUUAGAUACCCCAGUAGUCCUAGCCGUA